UUGAACGCUGGCGGCAUGCUUUACACAUGCAAGUCGAACGGCAACAGGCCUUCGGGUGCUGACGAGUGGCGAACGGGUGAGUAAUGCAUCGGAACGUACCCAGAGGUGGGGGAUAACGCAGCGAAAGCUGUGCUAAUACCGCAUGUGAUCUGAGGAUGAAAGCGGGGGACCGAGCAGCAAUGUUUGGCCUCGCGCCUUUGGAGCGGCCGAUGUCGGAUUAGCUAGUUGGUGGGGUAAAGGCCUACCAAGGCGACGAUCCGUAGCUGGUCUGAGAGGACGACCAGCCACACUGGGACUGAGACACGGCCCAGACUCCUACGGGAGGCAGCAGUGGGGAAUUUUGGACAAUGGGCGCAAGCCUGAUCCAGCAAUGCCGCGUGCGGGAAGAAGGCCUUCGGGUUGUAAACCGCUUUUGGCAGGAACGAAACGGUGUCCGCUAAUACCGGGCGCUAAUGACGGUACCUGCAGAAUAAGCACCGGCUAACUACGUG
Molecule: ribosomal RNA, 491 nt
Filed under: uncultured bacterium
Lineage: Bacteria
Description: partial 16S ribosomal RNA
Rfam family: Bacterial small subunit ribosomal RNA
Source: RNAcentral